This 907-nucleotide ribosomal RNA is filed under the name Salmonella enterica subsp. enterica serovar Derby. RNAcentral describes it as "partial 23S ribosomal RNA". It matches the Rfam family "Bacterial large subunit ribosomal RNA", at positions 2036 to 2925 of the family's 2925-position model. The record is from RNAcentral. Lineage: Bacteria; Pseudomonadati; Pseudomonadota; Gammaproteobacteria; Enterobacterales; Enterobacteriaceae.
GUGAAAUUGAACUCGCUGUGAAGAUGCAGUGUACCCGCGGCAAGACGGAAAGACCCCGUGAACCUUUACUAUAGCUUGACACUGAACAUUGAGCCUUGAUGUGUAGGAUAGGUGGGAGGCUUUGAAGUGUGGACGCCAGUCUGCAUGGAGCCGGCCUUGAAAUACCACCCUUUAAUGUUUGAUGUUCUAACGUGGACCCGUAAUCCGGGUUGCGGACAGUGUCUGGUGGGUAGUUUGACUGGGGCGGUCUCCUCCUAAAGAGUAACGGAGGAGCACGAAGGUUGGCUAAUCCUGGUCGGACAUCAGGAGGUUAGUGCAAUGGCAUAAGCCAGCUUGACUGCGAGCGUGACGGCGCGAGCAGGUGCGAAAGCAGGUCAUAGUGAUCCGGUGGUUCUGAAUGGAAGGGCCAUCGCUCAACGGAUAAAAGGUACUCCGGGGAUAACAGGCUGAUACCGCCCAAGAGUUCAUAUCGACGGCGGUGUUUGGCACCUCGAUGUCGGCUCAUCACAUCCUGGGGCUGAAGUAGGUCCCAAGGGUAUGGCUGUUCGCCAUUUAAAGUGGUACGCGAGCUGGGUUUAGAACGUCGUGAGACAGUUCGGUCCCUAUCUGCCGUGGGCGCUGGAGAACUGAGGGGGGCUGCUCCUAGUACGAGAGGACCGGAGUGGACGCAUCACUGGUGUUCGGGUUGUCAUGCCAAUGGCACUGCCCGGUAGCUAAAUGCGGAAGAGAUAAGUGCUGAAAGCAUCUAAGCACGAAACUUGCCCCGAGAUGAGUUCUCCCUGAGACUUAAAGUCUCCUGAAGGAACGUUGAAGACGACGACGUUGAUAGGCCGGGUGUGUAAGCGCAGCGAUGCGUUGAGCUAACCGGUACUAAUGAACCGUGAGGCUUAACCUUACAACGCCGAAG